CCUACGGGAGGCAGCAGUGGGGAAUAUUGGACAAUGGGGGGAACCCUGAUCCAGCGACGCCGCGUGAGGGAUGAAGGUACAGAGUAUCGUAAACCUCUUUUGUCAGGGAACAAAGGCGGGGACGUGUCCCCGGAUGAGUGUACCUGAAGAAAAAGCAUCGGCUAACUCCGUGCCAGCAGCCGCGGUAAUACGGAGGAUGCGAGCGUUAUCCGGAUUUAGUGGGUUAAAAGGGUGCGCAGGCGGUCUGUUAAGUCAGCGGUCAAAGCCCGGGGCUCAACCCCGGCCCGCCGUUGAAACUGGCAGUCUCGAGUUGGAGAGAGGUAUGCGGAAUGCGCGGUGUAGCGGUGAAAUGCAUAGAUAUCGCGCAGAACUCCGAUUGCGAAGGCAGCAUGCCGGCUCCACACUGACGCUGAGGCACGAAAGCGUGGGUAUCGAACAGGAUUAGAUACCCUUGUAGUC
RNAcentral lists this ribosomal RNA (459 nucleotides) under uncultured bacterium. RNAcentral's name for it is "partial 16S ribosomal RNA". It matches the Rfam family "Bacterial small subunit ribosomal RNA", at positions 338 to 795 of the family's 1533-position model. The record is from RNAcentral.